Molecule: ribosomal RNA, 375 nt
Filed under: uncultured beta proteobacterium
Lineage: Bacteria; Pseudomonadati; Pseudomonadota; Betaproteobacteria
Description: bacterial SSU rRNA
Rfam family: Bacterial small subunit ribosomal RNA
Source: RNAcentral
UAAUACGUAGGGUGCGAGCGUUAAUCGGAAUUACUGGGCGUAAAGCGUGCGCAGGCGGUUGUGCAAGACAGAUGUGAAAUCCCCGGGCUUAACCUGGGAACUGCAUUUGUGACUGCACGGCUAGAGUGCGGCAGAGGGGAGUGGAAUUCCGCGUGUAGCAGUGAAAUGCGUAGAUAUGCGGAGGAACACCGAUGGCGAAGGCAGCUCCCUGGGCCUGCACUGACGCUCAUGCACGAAAGCGUGGGGAGCAAACAGGAUUAGAUACCCUGGUAGUCCACGCCCUAAACGAUGUCAACUGGUUGUUGGUCCUUCACUGGAUCAGUAACGUAGCUAACGCGUGAAGUUGACCGCCUGGGGAGUACGGCCGCAAGGUUG